Molecule: transfer RNA, 74 nt
Filed under: Pseudaminobacter soli (ex Zhang et al. 2022)
Lineage: Bacteria; Pseudomonadati; Pseudomonadota; Alphaproteobacteria; Hyphomicrobiales; Phyllobacteriaceae
Description: tRNA-Ile
Rfam family: tRNA
About the family: Transfer RNA (tRNA) molecules are approximately 80 nucleotides in length.
Source: RNAcentral
CGUCCCAUAGCUCAACGGUAGAGCGUCCGCUUGAUAAGCGGUUGAUCUGAGUUCGAUUCUCAGUGGGACAACCA